GAAACGGGUUAAUAUUCCCGUACUGGUGAUAAUUGCGAUGGGGGGACGGAGAAGGCUAGGCUAUCCGGGCGACGGUUGUCCCGGUUUAAGAAUGUAGGCAGGUGAAUUAGGCAAAUCCGGUUCACUACAUGCUGAGGUUCGAUGACGAGUCACUACGGUGAUGAAGUAGCUCAUGCCCCGCUUCCAGGAAAAGCCUCUAAGCUCUAGAUUAUCAUUAAUCGUACCCCAAACCGACACAGGUGGUCAGGUAGAGAA
This 255-nucleotide ribosomal RNA is filed under the name Providencia huaxiensis. Its description in RNAcentral is "partial 23S ribosomal RNA". It matches the Rfam family "Bacterial large subunit ribosomal RNA", at positions 1422 to 1678 of the family's 2925-position model. The record is from RNAcentral. Lineage: Bacteria; Pseudomonadati; Pseudomonadota; Gammaproteobacteria; Enterobacterales; Morganellaceae.